This 228-nucleotide microRNA precursor is filed under the name Pelodiscus sinensis (Chinese soft-shelled turtle). RNAcentral's name for it is "miRNA (ENSPSIG00000020065.1)". Lineage: Eukaryota; Metazoa; Chordata; Testudines; Trionychidae. The record is from RNAcentral.
AUUCUUUUUUAUUUUGGGUAAAAAGCCAUUUCCACCCCAAAAUUUGAAAGAAAAAAUUUGAUCAACUCUAGGAAGGGACACAAGUUCUGCAUUACAUUGUUUAAAGUAAUGCAAUGAGAAUUUAGGGCAAAAUUGAUCCUCAAAGGGUGAAUUUUACCAUUCAUAACUAAGAUCUUGUCUUCAUUGUGACACUUCAGGUAGAAUGUGAAAUAGUUUUCUUAGGUAAUA